AAGCAGGGGAUCGAAAGACCUUGUGCUUUUGGAGUGGCCGAUGCCUGAUUAGCUAGUUGGUGGGGUAAGGGCCUACCAAGGCUACGAUCAGUAGUUGGUCUGAGAGGACGACCAGCCACACUGGGACUGAGACACGGCCCAGACUCCUACGGGAGGCAGCAGUGGGGAAUUUUGGACAAUGGGCGAAAGCCUGAUCCAGCAAUGCCGCGUGAGUGAAGAAGGCCUUCGGGUUGUAAAGCUCUUUCAGUCGAGAAGAAAAAAUUGCGAUGAAUAAUCGUGAUUCAUGACGGUAUCGACAGAAGAAGCACCGGCUAACUACGUGCCAGCAGCCGCGGUAAUACGUAGGGUGCGAGCGUUAAUCGGAAUUACUGGGCGUAAAGGGUGCGCAGGCGGCUUUGUAAGUCAGAUGUGAAAUCCCCGGGCUUAACCUGGGAAUUGCGUUUGAAACUACAAAGCUUAGA
This 461-nucleotide ribosomal RNA is filed under the name uncultured ammonia-oxidizing beta proteobacterium. RNAcentral's name for it is "bacterial SSU rRNA". It matches the Rfam family "Bacterial small subunit ribosomal RNA", at positions 190 to 646 of the family's 1533-position model. Lineage: Bacteria; Pseudomonadati; Pseudomonadota; Betaproteobacteria. The record is from RNAcentral.